GACGAACGCUGGCGGCGUGCCUAAUACAUGCAAGUAGGACGCAGUUGCGAACGGGUGAGUAACGCGUAGGUAACUACCUAUUAGAGGGGGAUAACUAUUGGAAACGAUAGCUAAUACCGCAUACUAGUAGAUGGACCUGCGUUGUAUUCGCUAGUAGGUAGGGUAAUGGCCUACCUAGGCAACGAUACAUAGCCGAACUGGAGUGGUGUGCGGCCAAACUGGGACUGAGAAACGGCCCAGACUCCUCCGGGAGGCAGAAGUAGGGAAUCUGCGGCAAUGGGGGGAACCCUGACCGAGCAACGCCGCGGGAGUGAAGAAGGUUUUCGGAUCGUAAAGCUCUGUUGUUAAGGAAGCGGUACUUAACCAGAAAGGGACGGCUAACUACGUGCCAGCAGCCGCGGUAAUUC
RNAcentral lists this ribosomal RNA (407 nucleotides) under uncultured bacterium. Its description in RNAcentral is "partial 16S ribosomal RNA". It matches the Rfam family "Bacterial small subunit ribosomal RNA", at positions 28 to 526 of the family's 1533-position model. The record is from RNAcentral.